GAUGGCAAAUGUUCGGAGAUGACUAUGAAAACACCUCUCUAUAUCCUCGAUUUAAAAGAGAGAUUGAGAGGGAUCAAGAAUCCUAAAUGUCUUAGGGAGAAAUGCUACAAAAGAAGAGAUAAAAGGUUGUUGGGCCUCUCCUACUCUGUGGGCAAGGAGGAAAAAUUCUUCUUUGAACCUGUGAAACCAAGAAUCUAUGGAAUGUGGGCAAGGAGGAAAAAUUCUUCUUUGGAACCUGUGAAACCAAGAAUCUAUGGAAUGGAGAUCCCUUUGAAAUUCUUGGCCUCCUUUGGUUCAUAG
RNAcentral lists this ribosomal RNA (300 nucleotides) under Triticum aestivum (bread wheat). RNAcentral describes it as "partial small subunit ribosomal RNA". The record is from RNAcentral. Lineage: Eukaryota; Viridiplantae; Streptophyta; Magnoliopsida; Poales; Poaceae.